RNAcentral lists this ribosomal RNA (362 nucleotides) under uncultured bacterium. Its description in RNAcentral is "bacterial SSU rRNA". It matches the Rfam family "Bacterial small subunit ribosomal RNA", at positions 335 to 681 of the family's 1533-position model. The record is from RNAcentral.
ACUCCUACGGGAGGCAGCAGUGGGGAAUAUUGCACAAUGGGGGAAACCCUGAUGCAGCCAUGCCGCGUGUGUGAAGAAGGCCUUCGGGUUGUAAAGCACUUUCAGUAGGAGGAAGGUAGUGUAGUUAACACCUGCAUUAUUUGUACGUUACCUACAGAAGAAGCACCGGCUAACUCCGUGCCAGCAGCCGCGGUAAGUACGGAGGGUGCGAGCGUUAAUACGGUAAUUACGUGGGCGUAAAAGCGCAUGCAGGCGGCCUGUUAAGUCAGAUGUGAAAGCCCGGGGCUUAACCUCGGAAUUGCAUUUGAAACUGGACGAGGCGUAGAGUCUUGUAGAGGGGUUAGGAAUUUCAGGUGUAGCGG